GAUGAACGCUGGCUACAGGCUUAACACAUGCAAGUCGAGGGGAAACGACGGGGAAGCUUGCUUCCCCGGGCGUCGACCGGCGCACGGGUGAGUAACGCGUAUCCAACCUGCCUCUGACUGAGGGAUAACCCGUCGAAAGUCGGCCUAAUACCUCAUGGCAUCGUCUGCGGGCAUCCAACGACGAUUAAAGAUUUCAUCGGUCAGGGAUGGGGAUGCGUCUGAUUAGCUUGUUGGCGGGGUAACGGCCCACCAAGGCUACGAUCAGUAGGGGUUCUGAGAGGAAGGUCCCCCACAUUGGAACUGAGACACGGUCCAAACUCCUACGGGAGGCAGCAGUGAGGAAUAGUGGUCAAUGGGCGGGAGCCUGAACCAGCCAAGUAGCGUGCAGGAUGACGGCCCUAUGGGUUGUAAACUGCUUUUAUGCGGGGAUAAAGUGAGGGACGUGUCCUUCAUUGCAGGUACCGCAUGAAUAAGGACCGGCUAAUUCCGUG
RNAcentral lists this ribosomal RNA (491 nucleotides) under uncultured bacterium. RNAcentral's name for it is "partial 16S ribosomal RNA". It matches the Rfam family "Bacterial small subunit ribosomal RNA", at positions 28 to 507 of the family's 1533-position model. The record is from RNAcentral.